UACGGAGGGUGCAAGCGUUAUCCGGGUUCACUGGGUUUAAAGGGAGCGCAGGCGGAUUUGUAAGUCAGUGGUGAAAGGCUUAAGCUUAACUUGGGAACUGCCAUUGAUACUAUAAGUCUUGAAUGUUGUUGAGGUUUGCGGAAUGGGUCAUGUAGCGGUGAAAUGCGUAGAUAUCAAGAGGAACACCUGAGGUGAAGACGGGUUGCUGGGCUGACACUGACGCUGAGGCGCGAAAGCCAGGGUAGCAAACGGG
This 253-nucleotide ribosomal RNA is filed under the name uncultured bacterium. RNAcentral describes it as "partial 16S ribosomal RNA". It matches the Rfam family "Bacterial small subunit ribosomal RNA", at positions 524 to 776 of the family's 1533-position model. The record is from RNAcentral.